CUUUCCGGGCUCUGAUCGCUUCG
This 23-nucleotide non-coding RNA is filed under the name Cricetulus griseus (Chinese hamster). The record is from RNAcentral. Lineage: Eukaryota; Metazoa; Chordata; Mammalia; Rodentia; Cricetidae.